GGAGGGUGCAAGCGUUGUCCGGAAUUAUUGGGUGUAAAGGGUGCGCAGGCGUCCCGACAAGUUUUCGGUGAAAUCUUCCGGCUCAACCGGGGACGUGCCGGAAAAACUGUCGGGAUUGAGUUCAGAAGAGGUUGGUGGAAUUCGUGGUGUAGCGGUGAAAUGCAUAGAGAUCACGAAGAACACCCGUGGUGAAAACGGCCAACUGGUCUGACACUGACGCUGAGGCACGAGAGCGUGGGUAGCGAACAGGAUUAGAUACCCUGGUAGUCCACGCCGUAAACGAUGUAUGCUAGAUGUCGGCUCUUCGGAGCCGGUGUCGUAGUUAACGCGCUAAGCAUACCACCUGGGGAGUACGUUCGCAAGAAUG
This 367-nucleotide ribosomal RNA is filed under the name uncultured bacterium. RNAcentral describes it as "bacterial SSU rRNA". It matches the Rfam family "Bacterial small subunit ribosomal RNA", at positions 527 to 896 of the family's 1533-position model. The record is from RNAcentral.